GUUGGACUUGAUGGUCUCAGAGGUCUUUUCCAACGUGGCUGAUUCUGUGAUUCUCUGAUUCCCAUUCCUAUGGCAGCACAUGCUUGAGGCUCCAUCCCCAGGGUGAUAGAGAUGUCUGUCCAUAUCUAUCUCCAAGGUUCCUGUCCUUGAGCCCAGGCCCUGAGGUGAGGCUGAGAAGUGGCGCGGAGGUGAGCCCAGAGCUGUCCCUGAGGUGAGGCUGAGAAUAAGUGCAAGGCAGAGGUGCUGCUGAGGAAGGAGAGCCCCGUGGUGGGGAAGGCACAAAGCUGUGUUUGCCCAUCCCCAAGAAGGUGCUGUGUCCAUCCCCUGUGUGCCAGGAUUUUUCCUUCCCAAAGCUUGGGCGGAUGGAGGAGGAGGCUGCGAGGAAGAGGAAGAUGCCUUGGGCCCCCCAGGCAG
Molecule: long non-coding RNA, 414 nt
Organism: Chiroxiphia lanceolata (lance-tailed manakin)
Lineage: Eukaryota; Metazoa; Chordata; Aves; Passeriformes; Pipridae
Exons: 3
Source: RefSeq, a predicted model, not a curated record